RNAcentral lists this ribosomal RNA (167 nucleotides) under uncultured bacterium. RNAcentral's name for it is "partial 16S rRNA". It matches the Rfam family "Bacterial small subunit ribosomal RNA", at positions 338 to 522 of the family's 1533-position model. The record is from RNAcentral.
CCUACGGGGGGCGGCAGGGGGGAAUCUUGCACAAUGGGCGGAAGCCUGAUGCAGCGACGCCGCGUGAGGGAAGAAGGUCUUCGGAUUGUAAACCUCUUUUGACAGGGAAGAUGAUGACGGUACCUGUCGAAUAAGCCCCGGCUAACUACGUGCCAGCAGCCCCGGUC